RNAcentral lists this ribosomal RNA (2904 nucleotides) under Escherichia coli. Its description in RNAcentral is "23S ribosomal RNA". It matches the Rfam family "Bacterial large subunit ribosomal RNA". The record is from RNAcentral. Lineage: Bacteria; Pseudomonadati; Pseudomonadota; Gammaproteobacteria; Enterobacterales; Enterobacteriaceae.
GGUUAAGCGACUAAGCGUACACGGUGGAUGCCCUGGCAGUCAGAGGCGAUGAAGGACGUGCUAAUCUGCGAUAAGCGUCGGUAAGGUGAUAUGAACCGUUAUAACCGGCGAUUUCCGAAUGGGGAAACCCAGUGUGUUUCGACACACUAUCAUUAACUGAAUCCAUAGGUUAAUGAGGCGAACCGGGGGAACUGAAACAUCUAAGUACCCCGAGGAAAAGAAAUCAACCGAGAUUCCCCCAGUAGCGGCGAGCGAACGGGGAGCAGCCCAGAGCCUGAAUCAGUGUGUGUGUUAGUGGAAGCGUCUGGAAAGGCGCGCGAUACAGGGUGACAGCCCCGUACACAAAAAUGCACAUGCUGUGAGCUCGAUGAGUAGGGCGGGACACGUGGUAUCCUGUCUGAAUAUGGGGGGACCAUCCUCCAAGGCUAAAUACUCCUGACUGACCGAUAGUGAACCAGUACCGUGAGGGAAAGGCGAAAAGAACCCCGGCGAGGGGAGUGAAAAAGAACCUGAAACCGUGUACGUACAAGCAGUGGGAGCCUCUUUUAUGGGGUGACUGCGUACCUUUUGUAUAAUGGGUCAGCGACUUAUAUUCUGUAGCAAGGUUAACCGAAUAGGGGAGCCGAAGGGAAACCGAGUCUUAACUGGGCGUUAAGUUGCAGGGUAUAGACCCGAAACCCGGUGAUCUAGCCAUGGGCAGGUUGAAGGUUGGGUAACACUAACUGGAGGACCGAACCGACUAAUGUUGAAAAAUUAGCGGAUGACUUGUGGCUGGGGGUGAAAGGCCAAUCAAACCGGGAGAUAGCUGGUUCUCCCCGAAAGCUAUUUAGGUAGCGCCUCGUGAAUUCAUCUCCGGGGGUAGAGCACUGUUUCGGCAAGGGGGUCAUCCCGACUUACCAACCCGAUGCAAACUGCGAAUACCGGAGAAUGUUAUCACGGGAGACACACGGCGGGUGCUAACGUCCGUCGUGAAGAGGGAAACAACCCAGACCGCCAGCUAAGGUCCCAAAGUCAUGGUUAAGUGGGAAACGAUGUGGGAAGGCCCAGACAGCCAGGAUGUUGGCUUAGAAGCAGCCAUCAUUUAAAGAAAGCGUAAUAGCUCACUGGUCGAGUCGGCCUGCGCGGAAGAUGUAACGGGGCUAAACCAUGCACCGAAGCUGCGGCAGCGACGCUGAUGCGUUGUUGGGUAGGGGAGCGUUCUGUAAGCCUGUGAAGGUGUGCUGUGAGGCAUGCUGGAGGUAUCAGAAGUGCGAAUGCUGACAUAAGUAACGAUAAAGCGGGUGAAAAGCCCGCUCGCCGGAAGACCAAGGGUUCCUGUCCAACGUUAAUCGGGGCAGGGUGAGUCGACCCCUAAGGCGAGGCCGAAAGGCGUAGUCGAUGGGAAACAGGUUAAUAUUCCUGUACUUGGUGUUACUGCGAAGGGGGGACGGAGAAGGCUAUGUUGGCCGGGCGACGGUUGUCCCGGUUUAAGCGUGUAGGCUGGUUUUCCAGGCAAAUCCGGAAAAUCAAGGCUGAGGCGUGAUGACGAGGCACUACGGUGCUGAAGCAACAAAUGCCCUGCUUCCAGGAAAAGCCUCUAAGCAUCAGGUAACAUCAAAUCGUACCCCAAACCGACACAGGUGGUCAGGUAGAGAAUACCAAGGCGCUUGAGAGAACUCGGGUGAAGGAACUAGGCAAAAUGGUGCCGUAACUUCGGGAGAAGGCACGCUGAUAUGUAGGUGAAGUCCCUUGCGGAUGGAGCUGAAAUCAGUCGAAGAUACCAGCUGGCUGCAACUGUUUAUUAAAAACACAGCACUGUGCAAACACGAAAGUGGACGUAUACGGUGUGACGCCUGCCCGGUGCCGGAAGGUUAAUUGAUGGGGUCAGCGCAAGCGAAGCUCUUGAUCGAAGCCCCGGUAAACGGCGGCCGUAACUAUAACGGUCCUAAGGUAGCGAAAUUCCUUGUCGGGUAAGUUCCGACCUGCACGAAUGGCGUAAUGAUGGCCAGGCUGUCUCCACCCGAGACUCAGUGAAAUUGAACUCGCUGUGAAGAUGCAGUGUACCCGCGGCAAGACGGAAAGACCCCGUGAACCUUUACUAUAGCUUGACACUGAACAUUGAGCCUUGAUGUGUAGGAUAGGUGGGAGGCUUUGAAGUGUGGACGCCAGUCUGCAUGGAGCCGACCUUGAAAUACCACCCUUUAAUGUUUGAUGUUCUAACGUUGACCCGUAAUCCGGGUUGCGGACAGUGUCUGGUGGGUAGUUUGACUGGGGCGGUCUCCUCCUAAAGAGUAACGGAGGAGCACGAAGGUUGGCUAAUCCUGGUCGGACAUCAGGAGGUUAGUGCAAUGGCAUAAGCCAGCUUGACUGCGAGCGUGACGGCGCGAGCAGGUGCGAAAGCAGGUCAUAGUGAUCCGGUGGUUCUGAAUGGAAGGGCCAUCGCUCAACGGAUAAAAGGUACUCCGGGGAUAACAGGCUGAUACCGCCCAAGAGUUCAUAUCGACGGCGGUGUUUGGCACCUCGAUGUCGGCUCAUCACAUCCUGGGGCUGAAGUAGGUCCCAAGGGUAUGGCUGUUCGCCAUUUAAAGUGGUACGCGAGCUGGGUUUAGAACGUCGUGAGACAGUUCGGUCCCUAUCUGCCGUGGGCGCUGGAGAACUGAGGGGGGCUGCUCCUAGUACGAGAGGACCGGAGUGGACGCAUCACUGGUGUUCGGGUUGUCAUGCCAAUGGCACUGCCCGGUAGCUAAAUGCGGAAGAGAUAAGUGCUGAAAGCAUCUAAGCACGAAACUUGCCCCGAGAUGAGUUCUCCCUGACUCCUUGAGAGUCCUGAAGGAACGUUGAAGACGACGACGUUGAUAGGCCGGGUGUGUAAGCGCAGCGAUGCGUUGAGCUAACCGGUACUAAUGAACCGUGAGGCUUAACCUU